RNAcentral lists this ribosomal RNA (501 nucleotides) under uncultured bacterium. Its description in RNAcentral is "partial 16S ribosomal RNA". It matches the Rfam family "Bacterial small subunit ribosomal RNA", at positions 30 to 523 of the family's 1533-position model. The record is from RNAcentral.
AUUGAACGCUGGCGGCAGGCUUAACACAUGCAAGUCGAGCGGAGAUGAGGUGCUUGCACCUUAUCUUAGCGGCGGACGGGUGAGUAAUGCUUAGGAAUCUGCCUAUUAGUGGGGGACAACAUUCCGAAAGGAAUGCUAAUACCGCAUACGUCCUACGGGAGAAAGCAGGGGAUCUUCGGACCGUGCGCUAAUAGAUGAGCCUAAGUCGGAUUAGCUAGUUGGGAGGGUAAAGGCCUACCAAGGCGACGAUCUGUAGCGGGUCUGAGAAGAUGAUCCGCCACACUGGGACUGAGACACGGCCCAGACUCCUACGGGAGGCAGCAGUGGGGAAUAUUGGACAAUGGGGGAAACCCUGAUCCAGCCAUGCCGCGUGUGUGAAGAAGGCCUUAUGGUUGUAAAGCACUUUAAGCGAGGAGGAGGCUACUGAGACUAAUACUCUUGGAUAGUGGACGUUACUCGCAGAAUAAGCACCGGCUAACUCUGUGCCAGCCGCCGCCGUAA